Molecule: ribosomal RNA, 112 nt
Filed under: Caerostris darwini
Lineage: Eukaryota; Metazoa; Arthropoda; Arachnida; Araneae; Araneidae
Source: RNAcentral
AACGGCCGUACCAUGCUGAAUAUACCGGUUCUCGUUAGAUCACCGAAGUCAAGCAUCAUUGGGCGCGGUCAGUACUUGGGUGGGUGACCACCUGGGAAUACCGCGUGCCGUU